GACGAACGCUGGCGGCGCGCCUAAUACAUGCAAGUCGGACGAAGCUGUUUUAACUGGUGCUUGCACCGACUUAAACAACUGAGUGGCGAACGGGUGAGUAACACGUGGGUAACCUGCCCCAAAGCGGGGGAUAACAUUUGGAAACAGAUGCUAAUACCGCAUAACCACAGAAACCACAUGGUUUCUGUGUCAAAGAUGGUUUCGGCUAUCACUUUGGGAUGGAACCGCGGGGUAAUAGCUAGUUGGUAAGGUAAUGGCUUACAAAGGCAAUGAUACGUAGCCGAACUGAGAGGUUGAUCGGCCCCAUUGGGACUGAGACACGGCCCAAACUCCUACGGAAGGCAGCAGUAGGGAAUCUUCCACAAUGGACGAAAGUCUGAUGGAGCAACGCCGCGUGAGUGAAGAAGGUUUUCGGAUCGUAAAACUCUGUUGUCAGAGAAGAACGUGUGCGAGAGUAACUGCUCGUGCAGUGACGGUAUCUGGCCAGAAAGCCACGGCUAACUACGUGCCAGCAGCCGCCGUAA
This 524-nucleotide ribosomal RNA is filed under the name uncultured bacterium. Its description in RNAcentral is "partial 16S ribosomal RNA". It matches the Rfam family "Bacterial small subunit ribosomal RNA", at positions 28 to 523 of the family's 1533-position model. The record is from RNAcentral.